RNAcentral lists this unclassified non-coding RNA (253 nucleotides) under uncultured Caryophanales bacterium. RNAcentral describes it as "uncultured Bacillales bacterium contains 16S-23S intergenic spacer region". It matches the Rfam family "Bacterial small subunit ribosomal RNA", at positions 524 to 776 of the family's 1533-position model. Lineage: Bacteria; Bacillati; Bacillota; Bacilli; Caryophanales. The record is from RNAcentral.
UAAGUAGGUGGCAAGCGUUGUUCGGCGUCAUUGGGCGUAAAGCGCGCGCAGGCGGCCUCUUAAGUCUGAUGUGAAAGCCCUGGGCUCAACCGGGGAGGGCCAUUGGAAACUGUGAGGCUUGAGUAUAGGAGAGAAGAGUGGAAUUCCACGUGUAGCGGUGAAAUGCGUAGAGAUGUGGAGGAACACCAGUGGCGAAGGCGACUCUUUGGCCUAUAACUGACGCUGAGGCGCGAAAGCGUGGGGAGCAAACAGG